Molecule: ribosomal RNA, 448 nt
Filed under: uncultured bacterium
Lineage: Bacteria
Description: partial 16S ribosomal RNA
Rfam family: Bacterial small subunit ribosomal RNA
Source: RNAcentral
UGCCAGACUCCUACGGGAGGCAGCAGUGGGGAAUAUUGCACAAUGGGGGAAACCCUGAUGCAGCAACGCCGCGUGAGUGAAGAAGUAUCUCGGUAUGUAAGGCUCUAUCAGCAGGGAAGAAGAUGACGGUACCUGAGUAAGAAGCCCAGGCUAACUACGUGCCAGCAGCCGCGGUAAUACGUAGGGGGCAAGCGUUAUCCGGAUUUACUGGGUGUAAAGGGAGCGUAGACGGCGAUGCAAGUCUGAAGUGAAAGGCGGGGGCCCAACCCCCGGACUGCUUUGGAAACUGUAUAGCUGGAGUGCAGGAGAGGUAAGUGGAAUUCCUAGUGUAGCGGUGAAAUGCGUAGAUAUUAGGAGGAACACCAGUGGCGAAGGCGGCUUACUGGACUGUAACUGACGUUGAGGCUCGAAAGCGUGGGGAGCAAACAGGAUUAGAUACCCGAGUAAG